Molecule: ribosomal RNA, 466 nt
Filed under: uncultured bacterium
Lineage: Bacteria
Description: bacterial SSU rRNA
Rfam family: Bacterial small subunit ribosomal RNA
Source: RNAcentral
CAAGGGAGUCAGUAGAGUGGCAAACGGGUGAGGUAACACGUGGGUGACCGUGCCUUCGAGUGGGGGAUAACGUCCCGAAAGGGAACGCGUAAUACCGCAUGACAUCCUGCCUUGAAGAGGUGGAGCUUAAAGCUGGGGAUCGCAAGACCUAGCGCGUUGAAGAGGGGCCCGCGUCUGAUUAGCUAGUUGGGUGAGGUAACGGCUCACCAAGGCAACGAUCAGUAUCCGGCCUGAGAGGGCGGACGGACACACUGGGACUGAGACACGGCCCAGACUCCUACGGGAGGCAGCAGUGGGGGAAUUGUUCGCAAUGGGCGGCAAGCCUGACGACGCAACGCCGCGUGGAGGAUGAAGAUCUUCGGGUCGUAAACUCCUUUCGAUCGAGGCGAACGGCCCCUGGGCUAAUCACCAGGGGAGUGACGGUACCGAGAGAAGAAGCCCCGGCUAACCCCGUGCCAGCAGCCGC